ACGUUCGGCUUUUGUAGCUGUGGCCCCAGACUCGUGCCUGGUCGCUGGCAAAGGACACAAAACGUUUUCGUGCGCUGCGCUGACAACAUCCUCGCAGGACCAAUAAGCGGACGAUUUAACAGCUCGUGCAAGUUCAAUGUAAAUGCGAAAAUGUAAACAAAAGCAACGCACGCGCAGCAGCAACAGCAACAACAGCAACGAGAACAACAACAAGAAAAACACCAAUAGCAGCUAUAAUAUACACUCUGCCAUAAACUGGAUCUGACUGCCUUCCAGCUGGGGACCGUUGUCGUAUCCCUUCCAGUGGGCCUGCAGCACACGGCUAGCGUCGCUGGCAGCGCCACAACAACGUCAGUAGUGGUGUCCUGCUAGUCGUGCUGUGUCCUGACGCGCGCGCUACACUGGCAAAACUCAGGGAAAUUUUUCCACAAGCACACACAUACACACACGCACACAUACGCACACAACAGAGCGUUGCUUUACCUUUGCCAAAAAUAAAGAAAACACAUACCUUCACAUGGCCUGGCCAAGAGCCG
This 536-nucleotide small RNA is filed under the name Drosophila virilis. Its description in RNAcentral is "GJ27073". The record is from RNAcentral. Lineage: Eukaryota; Metazoa; Arthropoda; Insecta; Diptera; Drosophilidae.